UUAAGGGUCCAACUGGAGGUCCCCUCGCCGCCACGGAGGCUAGAUUUGCUUAGGUGGCUUGUCCAGCGUGGAGUGGUGGGAGUUAUGGCGCCAUUAGCAGGCAUAUGGCUUCACAAUUUAGCGCUCGAAAGACUAAUCUUCUACGCAUAUGCUCUUUCGGAAGGAGUAAAAAUCCUGUUAUGUAAGGAGUAAACUCCAUUUCUUUAUCUCCCGUCCUCAAACUCGAGCAUAUCAGUUAGGGUGAGAUGGGCUAGGCGAGGCAGGACGAAGGCGGCGACAAUCGGUUGGCAGGGGAUGGGAUCGAGGAGCAGCGCGGUUGACUGAAGUUGACUCUCCUCCGGCGAAUCUAUCGCUGCAUCGCCAUCCCGAAUGUGGAGCGCCAUGGCUGGGAGAUUGCGGGCGGAAGGUGAACCGCCCCAAGUGUAUGGGGCGGAUUCUACUGCUUUCACGGUAGAGGUACAUCAUGGAGGAUUCUUCUGUGGCAUUGGUUAGAAUCGUGCUUACUUUAAUGAGAAGGUCUCCUGGUUUGAUUAUUGCAAAGUCGAGUUUUGGUCUUUCAUGAGGAUUAAGGAGAUCACAUGGAUGCUUAAUUAUGGGAUAGGGGGCAGCAAUGGAAAUAAACUGUCAAAAUAUGGUGUCAUAAUCCACUGCAGCCAUUGUCGAGAUACUGGGCAUAACAUAACCACAAGAACAAAAAGAACCCAACUCCAUGUGCUGAUCCUACAUAGGCUGAAACUAUUGAAGAACCAGUCAUUACCCAGGUAGUUUUCUUUUUUUUAGCGGGUAACCCAGGUAAUAGUUUUCUAACUAUUUUGCAAGUCAAUCUGUUAAAUCAAUUUUCUUCAUUUUAACCAAGUCUGAACAACUUAUAGGAGGUUCAUCAACCUGACCCAACAAGUAGGCAGGCUGGAGCUGGAGUGGUGUGAGAGAAAAACACUGUUACCUGGCUGGUGGCUGGAGGCUGGAGUUGGAGUGGUGUGAGAGGGAAUUACUGUAGGGGUGGAGGCCUACCCACCAGCCGAACACGGUGAUUGUCACGGCUUACAAUUCCUAUGGUGUCUCAAAUGCAAUAAGAGGCCACAUAAUGCAGAAGGCCAGACAUUGUACCUGUCCCAUUACUUGACAGUGCUUACAUCCUCUCCAACAUUCCAUCAGCAAGGCCAGCUCCACUUACUACAGCAACCAAGUCUGGAAGAGUGUCAAGGCCAUCAGCUAAGAUGAAGGCUACAAAACCACCAACGAAAAAGAAGGGUACAACACUUCAAUCAAGAAGUGCAAGGCUGGACUAGGACAUACAUGAUCCAGAUCCAAGAUGAAGGCUCUGGCCAACCUUUUGUGGAUGAUAGUUGUCUUUUGUGCAGUUAUAAACACCUGCAAACAUCUUUAGUGGAUGAUAAUUGUCUUUUGUAUAUGGAAAUGAUACCUGUAAACUGGUGGCCUGUGAUGAAAUUUCCCUUCAACGUUUGAAAAAGGGGAAAGAACUAAACAAGCUGUUUU
Panicum virgatum (switchgrass) is the source of this 1497-nucleotide long non-coding RNA. RefSeq lists it as uncharacterized. The record is from RefSeq and is a predicted model, not a curated record. The transcript has 3 exons. Lineage: Eukaryota; Viridiplantae; Streptophyta; Magnoliopsida; Poales; Poaceae.